GUCUGGGGCCAUACCACCCUGAACACGCAGAUCUCAUCUGAUCUCCAAAGCUAAGCAGGGUCAGGUCUGGUUAGUACUUGGAUGGGAGACCACCUGGGAAUACCGGGUGCUGUAGGCU
Molecule: ribosomal RNA, 118 nt
Filed under: Carlito syrichta (Philippine tarsier)
Lineage: Eukaryota; Metazoa; Chordata; Mammalia; Primates; Tarsiidae
Source: RNAcentral